This 701-nucleotide ribosomal RNA is filed under the name uncultured Bacilli bacterium. RNAcentral describes it as "bacterial SSU rRNA". It matches the Rfam family "Bacterial small subunit ribosomal RNA", at positions 64 to 735 of the family's 1533-position model. Lineage: Bacteria; Bacillati; Bacillota; Bacilli. The record is from RNAcentral.
GAACGCUUCUUUCUCCACCGGAGCUUGCUCCACCGNGAAAAAGAGGAGUGGCGAACGGGUGAGUAACACGUGGGUAACCUGCCCAUCAGAAGGGGAUAACACUUGGAAACAGGUGCUAAUACCGUAUAACAAUCAAAACCGCAUGGUUUUGAUUUGAAAGGCGCUUUCGGGUGUCGCUGAUGGAUGGACCCGCGGUGCAUUAGCUAGUUGGUGAGGUAACGGCUCACCAAGGCCACGAUGCAUAGCCGACCUGAGAGGGUGAUCGGCCACAUUGGGACUGAGACACGGCCCAAACUCCUACGGGAGGCAGCAGUAGGGAAUCUUCGGCAAUGGACGAAAGUCUGACCGAGCAACGCCGCGUGAGUGAAGAAGGUUUUCGGAUCGUAAAACUCUGUUGUUAGAGAAGAACAAGGAUGAGAGUAACUGUUCAUCCCUUGACGGUAUCUAACCAGAAAGCCACGGCUAACUACGUGCCAGCAGCCGCGGUAAUACGUAGGUGGCAAGCGUUGUCCGGAUUUAUUGGGCGUAAAGCGAGCGCAGGCGGUUUCUUAAGUCUGAUGUGAAAGCCCCCGGCUCAACCGGGGAGGGUCAUUGGAAACUGGGAGACUUGAGUGCAGAAGAGGAGAGUGGAAUUCCAUGUGUAGCGGUGAAAUGCGUAGAUAUAUGGAGGAACACCAGUGGCGAAGGCGGCUCUCUGGUCU